AGAGUUUGAUCCUGGCUCAGGAUGAACGCUAGCGGCAGGCUUAACACAUGCAAGUCGAGGGGCAGCGGGGAGGAAGCUUGCUUUCUCCGCCGGCGACCGGCGCACGGGUGAGUAACACGUAUGCAACCUGCCCCUGUCAGGGGGACAACCCGCCGAAAGGCGGGCUAAACCCGCGUACAUGCCACCGGGGCAUCCCGGAGGCAGGAAAGGCUUCGGCCGGACAGGGAUGGGCAUGCGGCGCAUUAGGCAGUAGGCGGGGUAACGGCCCACCUAACCGACGAUGCGUAGGGGUUCUGAGAGGAAGGUCCCCCACACUGGUACUGAGACACGGACCAGACUCCUACGGGAGGCAGCAGUGAGGAAUAUUGGUCAAUGGUCGGGAGACUGAACCAGCCAAGCCGCGUGAGGGAGGAAGGUACAGAGUAUCGUAAACCUCUUUUGUCAGGGAACAAAGACUGGGACGCGUCCCCGGAUGAGUGUACCUGAAGAAAAAGCAUCGGCUAACUCCGUGCCAGCAGCCGCGGUAAUACGGAGGAUGCGAGCGUUAUCCGGAUUUAUUGGGUUUAAAGGGUGCGCAGGCGGUCUGUUAAGUCAGCGGUCAAAGCCCGGGGCUCAACCCCGGCCCGCCGUUGAAACUGGCAGUCUCGAGUUGGAGAGAAGUAUGCGGAAUGCGCGGUGUAGCGGUGAAAUGCAUAGAUAUCGCGCAGAACUCCGAUUGCGAAGGCAGCAUGCCGGCUCCACACUGACGCUGAGGCACGAAAGCGUGGGUAUCGAACAGGAUUAGAUACCCUGGUAGUCCACGCAGUAAACGAUGAAUGCUGGCUGUCCGGGGGGACUGACCCCUGGGUGGCGAAGCGAAAGCGAUAAGCAUUCCACCUGGGGAGUACGCCGGCAACGGUGAAACUCAAAGGAAUUGACGGGGGCCCGCACAAGCGGAGGAACAUGUGGUUUAAUUCGAUGAUACGCGAGGAACCUUACCCGGGCUCAAACGGGGAGUGGCGCAGGCAGAGACGCCUGUUUCCCACGGGACACUCCCCGAGGUGCUGCAUGGUUGUCGUCAGCUCGUGCCGUGAGGUGUCGGCUUAAGUGCCAUAACGAGCGCAACCCCCGCGUGCAGUUGCUAACAGUCAACGCUGAGGACUCUGCACGGACUGCCGGCGCAAGCCGCGAGGAAGGCGGGGAUGACGUCAAAUCAGCACGGCCCUUACGUCCGGGGCGACACACGUGUUACAAUGGGUGGUACAGCGGGAAGCCAGGCGGCGACGCCGAGCGGAACCCGAAAUCCACUCUCAGUUCGGAUCGGAGUCUGCAACCCGACUCCGUGAAGCUGGAUUCGCUAGUAAUCGCGCAUCAGCCAUGGCGCGGUGAAUACGUUCCCGGGCCUUGCACUCACCGCCCGUCA
This 1402-nucleotide ribosomal RNA is filed under the name uncultured bacterium. Its description in RNAcentral is "16S ribosomal RNA". It matches the Rfam family "Bacterial small subunit ribosomal RNA". The record is from RNAcentral.